AAGUUCAGACGAUUGCUCUUCUGAUCUAGAACAUAUGCCCUCCCUAAGACUUCAAGGAAGAAGCAACAGCCCCACUAUCAGCCCCCAAAGCUGAAAUUCUUUCUUAAACUAUUCCUUGCCAAUACCAGAAACCAAUCCCACAACUUUCAUAAUUCAUAUAUUGCAUAUACCCAUACUGUGCUUGUCCAGUAUGUCUUCAUUUUCCACAAAAAAAACAAGU
This is a long non-coding RNA of Leopardus geoffroyi (Geoffroy's cat), 220 nucleotides long. RefSeq lists it as uncharacterized. The record is from RefSeq and is a predicted model, not a curated record. The transcript is spliced from 4 exons. Lineage: Eukaryota; Metazoa; Chordata; Mammalia; Carnivora; Felidae.